Molecule: ribosomal RNA, 372 nt
Filed under: uncultured organism
Description: partial 16S ribosomal RNA
Rfam family: Bacterial small subunit ribosomal RNA
Source: RNAcentral
GUAGGUGGCAAGCGUUGUCCGGAAUUAUUGGGCGUAAAGCGCGCGCAGGUGGUUCUUUAAGUUUGAUGUGAAAGCCCCCGGGCUCAACCGGGGAGGGUCAUUGGAAACUGGGGAACUUGAGUGCAGGAGAGGAAAGUGGAAUUCCACGUGUAGCGGUGAAAUGCGUAGAUAUGUGGAGGAACACCAGUGGCGAAGGCGACUUUCUGGCCUGUAACUGACACUGAGGCGCGAAAGCGUGGGGAGCAAACAGGAUUAGAUACCCUGGUAGUCCACGCCGUAAACGAUGAGUGCUAAGUGUUGGGGGGUUUCCGCCCCUCAGUGCUGCAGCUAACGCAUUAAGCACUCCGCCUGGGGAGUACGGUCGCAAGACUG